Long non-coding RNA from Sinocyclocheilus rhinocerous, 353 nucleotides. RefSeq lists it as uncharacterized. The transcript has 4 exons. The record is from RefSeq and is a predicted model, not a curated record. Lineage: Eukaryota; Metazoa; Chordata; Actinopteri; Cypriniformes; Cyprinidae.
UGUUUUUCUCUUUGAUUGACAGAUAGGCAACUUGCAAAUAAAUGAAAAAGAUGACAAGCUGGAAGCUGCAGCAAAUGGUGCAAAGACAGAAGGCGAUGGAGUGAAGGCGGAGGACGAUGAUAAAGAUGACAAGGCAGCACAGUCACUGCUGAAUAAACUGAUCCGCAGUAAUCUAGUGAACACGACCAAUCAAGUUGAAGUCCUUCAGAGGGAUCCGAGUUCUCCGCUAUACUCUGUCAAGUCGUUUGAAGAGCUGCGAUUAAAACCUCAGCUACUGCAGGGAGUGUAUGCCUUGGGUUUCAACAGACCCUCCAAAAUCCAGGAGACCGCAUUGCCCAUGAUGCUCGCAGAAC